UAGUCCACGCCGUAAACGAUGGCCACUAGCUGUGUGGAUUUCGGUCUGCGUGGCUAAGCGAAAGUGAUAAGUGACCCACCUGGGGAGUACGUUCGCAAGAAUGAAACUCAAAGGAAUUGACGGAGGCCCGCACAAGCGGAGGAACAUGUGGUUUAAUUCGAUGAUACGCGAGGAACCUUACCUGGACUUAAAUGUGCGUUGCAUAGAUCAGAGAUGGUCUUUUCUUCGGACUACGUACAAGGUGCUGCAUGGUUGUCGUCAGCUCGUGCCGUGAGGUGUCGGGUUAAGUCCCAUAACGAGCGCAACCCUUAUCCUUAGUUGCCAGCGGGUCAUGCCGGGGACUCUGAGGAGACUGCCACCGUAAGGUGUGAGGAAGGUGGGGAUGACGUCAAAUCAGCACGGGCCCUUAUGUCCAGGGGCUACACACGUGUUACAAUGGACGGUACAAAGGGCAGCUACCUGGUGACAGGAUGCUAAUCUCUAAAGCCGUUCUCAGUUCGGAUCGAA
This 507-nucleotide ribosomal RNA is filed under the name uncultured bacterium. RNAcentral's name for it is "bacterial SSU rRNA". It matches the Rfam family "Bacterial small subunit ribosomal RNA", at positions 791 to 1302 of the family's 1533-position model. The record is from RNAcentral.